GCUCACAUAGUACAGAGGUAGUACAUCAGAUUGUGGC
Molecule: transfer RNA, 37 nt
Filed under: Entamoeba moshkovskii
Lineage: Eukaryota; Evosea; Mastigamoebida; Endamoebidae
Description: tRNA-His
Source: RNAcentral